UACGGAGGGUGCAAGCGUUGUUCGGAUUUAUUGGGCGUAAAGCGCGUGUAGGCGGUUUCUUAAGUCUGAUGUGAAAGCCCUGGGCUCAACCCAGGAAGUGCAUUGGAUACUGGGAGACUUGAAUACGGGAGAGGGUAGUGGAAUUCCUAGUGUAGGAGUGAAAUCCGUAGAUAUUAGGAGGAACACCGGUGGCGAAGGCGGCUCUCUGGGACGGUACUGACGCUGAGACGCGAAAGCGUGGGGAGCGAACAGG
This 253-nucleotide ribosomal RNA is filed under the name uncultured bacterium. RNAcentral's name for it is "partial 16S ribosomal RNA". It matches the Rfam family "Bacterial small subunit ribosomal RNA", at positions 524 to 776 of the family's 1533-position model. The record is from RNAcentral.